ACUCAAAUGAAUUGACGGGGGCCCGCACAAGCGGUGGAGUAUGUGGCUUAAUUCGAUGCAACGCGAAGAACCUUACCUGGGUUUGACAUGCAUCUCUAAGGAGGUGAAAGCCUUCGAGGGUAGCAAUACCCAAUUUGCACAGGUGCUGCAUGGCUGUCGUCAGCUCGUGUCGUGAGAUGUUGGGUUAAGUCCCGCAACGAGCGCAACCCUUGUAUGCUGUUGCCAUGAUUACUCAUGGCUCUCUGCGUAGACUGCCCCGUGAAACGGGGAGGAAGGUGGGGAUGACGUCAAGUCAGCAUGGCCCUUACACCCAGGGCUGCACACGUACUACAAUGCCCAGUACAAUUCGAUCCUGACCCGCGAGGGCUGGGAAAUCAGCGAAAACUGGGCUCAGUUCGGAUUGCAGGCUGCAACUCGCCUGCAUGAAGCUGGAAUCGCUAGUAAUGCCGUAUCAGCUACGACGGCGUGAAUACGUUCCCGGGCCUUGUACACACCGCCCGU
This 501-nucleotide ribosomal RNA is filed under the name uncultured bacterium. RNAcentral describes it as "partial 16S ribosomal RNA". It matches the Rfam family "Bacterial small subunit ribosomal RNA", at positions 899 to 1397 of the family's 1533-position model. The record is from RNAcentral.